Molecule: transfer RNA, 73 nt
Filed under: Coscinodiscus granii
Lineage: Eukaryota; Bacillariophyta; Coscinodiscophyceae; Coscinodiscales; Coscinodiscaceae
Description: tRNA-Phe
Rfam family: tRNA
About the family: Transfer RNA (tRNA) molecules are approximately 80 nucleotides in length. Their secondary structure includes four short double-helical elements and three loops (D, anti-codon, and T loops). Further hydrogen bonds mediate the characteristic L-shaped molecular structure. tRNAs have two regions of fundamental functional importance: the anti-codon, which is responsible for specific mRNA codon recognition, and the 3' end, to which the tRNAs corresponding amino acid is attached (by aminoacyl-tRNA synthetases). tRNAs cope with the degeneracy of the genetic code in two manners: having more than one tRNA (with a specific anti-codon) for a particular amino acid; and 'wobble' base-pairing, i.e. permitting non-standard base-pairing at the 3rd anti-codon position.
Source: RNAcentral
GUUCAGGUAGCUCAGAAGGUAGAGCAAAAGACUGAAAAUCUUUGUGUCGACAGUUCAAAUCUGUCUCUGAACA